UACUAAAAGGUCACUUGGUGUUAGCUCUA
This 29-nucleotide non-coding RNA is filed under the name Mus musculus (house mouse). Lineage: Eukaryota; Metazoa; Chordata; Mammalia; Rodentia; Muridae. The record is from RNAcentral.